AGUGUGGGUAGAGGACAAAGUGCCUACGGUGAUCCUGUCCCUCUCCUGCCACCCUCCCCAGUAAUGGCACCUCGCUUUUCCUGCAGGCCCAGGCCUCCCCCUCGCACCCCUUUCACUGUGGUGCAUUGCUCCCCAGGCCUCUCAGACUGUCCUCCCUCAGCCAACCCUCGUCCUCUCCCUGGAACUGACCUCGGAAGCCUGACUGACUCUCAGGGUCCAACCCCUGCCUGUGUGUCUCAUGCUGUGGCAGCCCAGGCCGUGGCACUGACCAUCUGUGCAGCUCGCUCUCUGCUUUGCCCUCCUCAGGCCGCUGGUGCACGUUCCCUCAAUGCUUUGAGGGACUGCUUCCUUCCCAACUGAUCUCCCCAUCAGUUAGGUGGCCUCCCAGGGUGUGGACGCCUUUCUUCUUCCCUUCCAGGAAUGCUGCUCACAUAUCGAUUCCUUUUCUUCCCUUCUCUCUCUUUUGUCUCCUUUUGUUCUACCCAGUUACAUGGAGGGGUUCUUGCCCUUUUUGGAAGUCUGAAAUUUUCUGCCAGCAUUUAGUAGAGGUUCUGUGCAAGUCUUUCCAGUUAUAGAUUUCUGUGUUUGUGUGUUUGUGUGAGAAGGGGAGUGCUGCAUCUUACUCUUUCAACUUGAUCCUGCCUAUUUUUGAAGAUUUUUUUUUUGUCUUUUGUCUUUUUAGGGCCACACCCAUGGCAUAUGGAGGUUCCCAGGCUAGGGGUCGAAUUGGAGCUGUAGCUGCCAGCCUACGCCACAGCCAUGACAGAUACGAGCCACAUCUGUGACAUACACCACAGGUCAUGGCAAUGCUGGAUCCUUAACCCAGUGAGCAAGGCCAGGGAUUGAACCCACAUCCUGAUAGGUCCUAGUCGGGUUCAUUAACCACUGAACCGCAAUAGGAACUUCUUUUUGAAGAUAUUAUUACCACCAAUUUCUAUUUAAAAAUACUCAGUUUCUCAGAUAUACUUUUUAAAAACAGAAAUUAGGUGUUGUCAGCAAAAAAACAUAAUAGUAAUAAAGUAGUUAAUAUUGUUCCAUCGUGACAAUUUGUAAGAAGCAAAAACUAGGGCUUUUAUAUAUCCUACUUCAUUAAAUUAUCACAUUUAAUUUUUAGUCUUAUUUAAGGUUGAUUUUAUGAACCUCUCUUUAAAGUUGAAUGAAAUGAAACAAAUUUUUAAGUAACUUGUAAAAAUUCAAAAUUUUAUUGAAUGAUGGAAUUUGGAUACAAAUAUAUGUUAGUAUAUGUUAAUAGAAUAAAACAUAAUUAUAUUAUAUGUUAGCUUGAAUUCAUAAGCCUUCUAUAAUACUUCCUACAAUUUGUAGUGUAAGUAUAGAUAUUAUAUGACCAAAAUUUUACAUGUAGACAGAAUAUGGUUGGUGAGUAGUUUAUGGGUAUUCUGGGAAACAGGAGAACCAUGUGAAAGAUUUUGCUUCCUUGUGAUAGCACACUUUUCUAGACCCCAAGCUUUUAUUUUUACUUGUAAGUUCUUCCUUUGAUUUUGAUUUUCUAAUAUUUCUUGAAAGAUGUGGGAAAUAUUUAAUGACUAAAUCAAAAUCUCAAUAAUCUAGGCCAUCAUUUUUAUUAAAUAGUGUCUAAGUGCCAGUAUUACCUGCAGCAGUUUGCUGCAAUAAAAUUUGUCCUCUGCCAUUUAGCUUUAAAAUACAGGUAGAACCUUAUUGAAGAUUUAAAAAUACUUAGGAAAGUAAUGGUUUUCAAAUGGCUUAAGGAUUUUGAAUAUUAAAUGUUGUAUUACGGAUCUUAUAAUGUUUUGCAAUACAGUAUUAAUUUACCUGAGACGUUUUCCCACAAGGAGUAAAAACAUGUGUUUCUAACUAAACUUAUUACUCUGAAAGCUUGACGAAUGACAACUAUGAAAAAAAAAAUCCCUUAAAACCAUAGGCUAAUUGGUUGAACAUAAAGUCUCUUGGGUCAGAAACAACAGCUGUGCAUAUACAUUAAGGCAAAACAUGAGGCAAGAGGCACAGAUAACAGCACAUAAGUCUGUCAUUUUGUUUUGAAUGAUGCAGCAACUCUUAGGUAUUUCCCUUCUCUCCUGCACUCUGUUCAUAGGCUCCCGCGGUCUGUGUCAUUGAGUAACGACUUGCCAUUCCUCAUUUGUUUUUGUUUCUGGUGCCUUCCUCGGCACGGUUCUUCUCAGUGUCUGCUCUCUUCCUUGGCUCAGUUCAACCUGCCAUAUGGAGGCAAAUCUGCGGAGUAGGUUGGAUUUUCUCCCUACGACCCCCCAUACUCUUCAGGUCUCCAUUAAGCCAGUUCUAGCUUUGACAUCUUUUCCACAUUUAAAAAACAAGAUUGCGUCUUAUUUUUGCCUAACUUUCACUCUGUCCUAUGAUUUCUUUACCGUCAUGUAAGCAGACUGACAUUUUGAAGUGCAAUGAAAAUAUGCUGAUGCAAGAUCCCAGUUAAAAUGCUUCCUUUGUCCUGUGGAUGAUUCAGCAAAGAUUUUAGAAUGACUCACAGAGCCGUUCCGUCCUGGUCCCUGUGUACUCCUGUGACGUCAUCGCUCAUCCUUCUUGCUUCUGUACCCCAUGCUUGGGUUGCUUGAUUGUGUUGUUAUUUCUCAUUUCUUAGUCUUACCACAGGCUGUCACCUCUCUUUUGAUCAUCUUCAGCCUUGGUUUUUGGUUUGUUUGUUUGUUUUUAAUAUCUCUUAGUCUUUUUUUUUUUUUAACAGUAUCAUCUUAAAAGUCAUGCUCUUUAUGUACUUCAGGAAUGUUUGUGUACUCACCAUGCUUCUUACUUUGUUUAUCUAAAAGUGUACUACUUCAGCUACCACAGCAUCACGUUUUUUGUCCUUUUUGUUUUAAUUGCUUGCUUUCUGCUUUAUAUUGUAUGUACUGAGAGGGAAAGACCACAUCUUUCCUGCUCUCCAUUUCAAAUUUCAUUCCUCGCACAGAUGUUACUAAAAUAUUACUCGUUAAAUAGAUCUUUGACAUAAGUAAGUUCUUUACCGAAAUGCCUUUUACCUUUUGCCUUCACACAUUAAAGUGUUAAUAUGAUUGGAUUGUCAACAUUUAAGUCAAAAGUGUGGGGAUUUGAGAAUUUUCAGAAGGGAUGAUACAAUAUCAAGCAUUAGAUACUGAAAUAAAUCUUAACUCUUAAAUUAGUUAUUUUAGAGAUUUUUUUCCAGAUAAAUUUCAUGUCUGUGAAUGAGAACUAGAUUGUCCAUAUAGUAUUGUAUUUUCAGGGUCUAAACUAUGAAGACAAAAAAAGAACUAUAGGUAUGUGUGUGUGUGUGUGUGUAUGCUAUUUUGGCACAUAUUACAUUUACUAUUUAUAGAAUGUCUCAAAAGCAUGUAGUAAAGAAGAAAACGAUCUAGAAAAAACUUGGUUAAAAUCUUAUAAGAAAACAGCCUUAUCCAUAUCCUAACAAAUGGAUAGAACUUGCAUGUUCUGUUUCCUAUUACAAAUAUCUCAAACAUUAAGAAACAAAACUCUGGAAAAAAGGGACUGAAUAAAUGAUGCAAAUGGAGAAAAUAAAUGUGCCUCAUAAAUAAAAUAUAAAUUUUUGGGGGCCAGAUUAAAUCUCAUGAAACACUAUUUUGGCGUACUCCAUAUUAAAAUUAACAAAUACAUAUAGCAAAUAAAUACUGACUUGGAUAGGAAAACAGCUAUACCACCUAAUUUUUGACUGUUUUAUGGCUUUCUAAACUGGGUUGAGACAGAAUUAUGAGUUAAUUUGGUCACAAAUAACCAGUAUUUUUUCUGAUAUCCUGUAUUAGGUAGCAUGAUGAAAAAUAUUUAUUUCAGAGAUAUAUGAACCUAAAUCUUUGAAAAUUUAUACAGCCUUUCUGCAUAAUGGUAGGUUUUCUAGUGUAUUUGAAAUAUUUUUCCACAUUAAAUCAAUUCUGUGUGUGUAUAUAUAACAAGUUGAUUCAAUGUAUGAAAAAUAGGUGUGUGUAUGGACACUGGUUUGAAGCAAGAAAAAAGCAAAAUUAUAUAGAAAUAAACAGUUCAUAUUAUCUGUGCCUUAGAUCUAAAUAAAAUGUAUCUUUUGCAACUUUUUUUUUCAGAAUUUGGGUAAAAUACUGAAUUUCCCUGCAUCUCUAUUCUAGGGUCAUUUUAAGUAGUAAAUAAAACAAAGACUGAAAAGUAAUUAGUCUAGUACUUGGUUCAGUAUUUAUCUUAGCAAUAGUCGUUGUAUUGGUGUGUUCAUUUUUAAAAAUCAAAAUUUUAUUUAUUGCAUGUUAUAUUUCACACCUGUCUUACCAGUAGUUAUCAUUGCUGUGAAAGUAAAGACACAUUUUUCACCACACAUUUUGUUAUUCAAGGAUAUCAAGUGAAAUUCUUUUCCCAUUAGAACUUUUGAAAUAAAUUAACUAGUUGUUAAAUAUGAAGAUAUUAAAAACAUAUAUUUCAAUAAAAGAUGUUUCCAAAACAAAACAACAACAAAAACCCUCAUGAACAAUCUUAAGGAACUAUCUCUUUUACUAACAUUUAUAUUUUAUAAUUUUAAAACACACACUCCUGUUAAAGACUUCAGGGUAGUAAAGUAGAGGGUACAUUUCAAAAUACCUGAUUAUUUGCACAAUACCUAAUUUACUAUCAAAGACAUUUGCCAUAUGAAAUUAGAAGAAAAUGGUACAGAUAUAAAAAUCUCUGUUGUAAAUGGAAUCAUUAAACUAUGCCUGAUUUGUCACAUUUCCUUGUGCCUGGUUAGAGAUGUGACAUCAGGUAAUACAUUUCAGAGUGAUGAGACAGGGAAAUUAGAUAUUGAAUGCUCCAUAGUUUUCAAUAUAUAAAAGUUUUAAAUCUCAUUUAAGGAAUGACACAUCCUAGAAGAGCAGCCAAACAAAGCUGCUUAUAAAUUCUCGAAUUAACAAGAAAAAUUGACUUUUUUUUUUAGAAAAAAGUAUUUUGUUCACUGGGAUCUGAAUCAUUACAUAAAACAUUUGGUAGAAUCACUGCUAAGCAUAAUCCGUGUACUUUUUAUUUUUUUAUUUAUUUAUUUUUUUGCUAUCUCUUUGGGCCGCUCCCACGGCACAUGGAGAUUCCCAGGCUAGGGGUCGAAUCGGAGCUGCAGCCACCGGCCUACGCCAGAGCCACAGCAACGCAGGAUCUGAGCCGCAUCUGCAACCUACACCACAGCUCACGGCAACGCCGGAUCGUUAACCCACUGAGCAAGGGCAGGGAUCGAACCCACAACCUUGUGGUUCCUAGUUGGAUUCGUUAACCACUGCGCCACGACGGGAACUCCUGUAUACUUUUUAAAGGCUGCAUUAUGCAUUAAUGCAUUUAAAACUAAAAUAAGAAAUUAUAUCUAAAUAUUUAUAAAUUCUUUCAAUGUGUUCAUUAAGAAACUCAAUGAAUGGGUUUGUGUGCAGUGCAAAAUUUUAAUUUUUUUGAGAUAAAAGCACACUCUUUUCUCUCAUUUUAAGAACUCAGUUUUAUAGAACCCAAGGUACGAAAUGAGUCUCUAGGAUAAGGAAUGUUGAAUUAUUGUUGGAUUGGUAGGGUUUUAGCAGCUUUCAUUUCAGAAGCAGAAGGAUAUUCAGAGCUAGAGCUAAUAGUAGAAAUAGUUUCAAAAGUGGGUGGCGGGUUUUUAAGGAGAACAUAGAUGGGUAAGUUUGUGCAAGCAGCUCUGUGUCCUGAGGAGAUUAAUUAAAGCCAGCAGACCAACCAAAGCAUUGAAAUUAAAAACAAAUUAAAGAACAGAACAGCAGUAGUUGAAAACUAAAGUAAGCAUAAAAUACAAUAUAAAAAUGGACAAGAAAUAAAAUCUCUCUAUACAAUUAUAAAAUAGCAACUCUUGUUGAUUUUCAGCUUUACCUUUCAGGUUUAAAGGCAUAUAAAAUUUUAAGUAAUUACUCUCUAUUUGGAAAUUUUGAAUGGAUGCCUUAUGAAAUAAUUCUGGAAAGUAAGAAAUUGAAAUGUUGGACUGCAUUAGUAUUAUGAAAUUUUAAACAUGCAAACAUCCAUUCAGUAUUUAUUAGGUACCUUUCUGUGCAAGACACUGGGUUAGAUAAUGAGAACUUAAAGAUGUGUACCAAGAAUUUACUCCUGCCUUAAUGAAGUUUGCAGUCUUAUAUAACAGCAGGUCAGUGGGCAACGGAUGUAAGACCUUCAUUCUGUACUUAUGGGAAAGUACUUCUAUUAGCAGAAGAGAGAAAUUAAUUCUCCUCAAUGUCCUUUCUAAUGGGACGGGAUUUGAACUGAAUUAUAAAUAAUAUUUACUCAUUGUUUAAAAAAAUAUUUCAUGGUAACAACACACCGUACACUAUUCUAAGACGUAGUAAUAGAAGGAUUUUCAAAACAGAGAAAUUCUCUUCUCCCCACUCUUGGGGACCUUAUGUUCUGAGUCGGACUAGUUAGGGAGAGCUUCUCCAGGAAGGUGAUGUAAAAAAUGGAAGGUGAUGGUAAAAGAAGCAGCCAGUCAGGGAACAAUAAAAGGAAAGGGAGCUUCGAAUAGAGUGUGCAUUUGGUGGCCAAGCCUCCUGGGGAGGAAAUGCAGAAGCUUGGUUUUUCAAAAGACAGAAGGGGGUCUCUUUGCUUAGAGCUUGAGUGACAAAGAUGGAAUGGUGAGAAGAGGAAGUAAAUAGAGCUUAUAAAGCAACAUAAAAAAUUUUAGUCAUUUUUUUUCAAUUGAGAUUGUAAGGCAUUCAGUAGAGAAGUGACAGAUUUUAGUGUAUUUAAAAUCUUAAGCUGUCUUAUCAAAAAUGGAUAACAUGAUGUCAAAUGAAUAUUAGAUGAUGUCUCCAGUGCUUUGACUUUGUCUGACCUAGAUUGUGAUUCCAUUAUGAAAAAAAAAAAAAGAAAAGAAAAA
Molecule: long non-coding RNA, 6781 nt
Filed under: Sus scrofa (pig)
Lineage: Eukaryota; Metazoa; Chordata; Mammalia; Artiodactyla; Suidae
Description: lncRNA (ENSSSCG00015006750.1)
Source: RNAcentral